Molecule: ribosomal RNA, 208 nt
Filed under: uncultured Pseudomonas sp.
Lineage: Bacteria; Pseudomonadati; Pseudomonadota; Gammaproteobacteria; Pseudomonadales; Pseudomonadaceae
Description: partial 16S ribosomal RNA
Rfam family: Bacterial small subunit ribosomal RNA
Source: RNAcentral
GGGGAUGACGUCAAGUCAUCAUGGCCCUUACGGCCUGGGCUACACACGUGCUACAAUGGUCGGUACAAAGGGUUGCCAAGCCGCGAGGUGGAGCUAAUCCCAUAAAACCGAUCGUAGUCCGGAUCGCAGUCUGCAACUCGACUGCGUGAAGUCGGAAUCGCUAGUAAUCGUGAAUCAGAAUGUCACGGUGAAUACGUUCCCGGGCCUU